GUUAAUAUGGAUUUCCUGAAUUGGUUAAUGUACUUUUUUUUCUCCUUGAUAUUGUUUCAAGCUUUCCAUUUGAUCACAAGAAGGAAAUUGGGAAGAUCCCAUAAGCUUCCGCCCGGUCCACCAACAAUUCCGAUCUUCGAGAACCUUUUCCAGGUUGGUGAUAAACCCCAUAGGUCCCUUGCCAAACUUGCCAAGAUUCAUGGGGACAUCAUGACUCUGAAACUUGGCCAGACUACUACCGUAGUUUUUUCAUCUGCAACAAUGGCCAAAGAAAUCUUCCAAAAGCAUGAUGCCGUAUCUUGUAACCGAACCAUUCCCGAUGCCCUUCGUGCCCUUCAACAUCACGAAGCCGGAUUGCCUUGGAUGCCUGUUUCAACCACAUGGAGAAAUCUUAGGAAAAUCUGCAAUUUGCAUAUUUUCGCUACUCAUAAACUUGACGCUAAUCAAUACUUGAGGCGCAGCAAAGUAGAACAACUCCUUGCUGGUGUUCGCGAAAGUUCCCUCAUCGGAGAAGCGAUUGAGAUACGUUAAGCUGCUUUCAAAACUACGCUUAGUCUCAUAUCAAAUACUAUUUUCUCCAUUGAUUUAGCCGACUCUACUCAUACUUCUGAGGAGUU
RNAcentral lists this long non-coding RNA (617 nucleotides) under Gossypium barbadense (sea-island cotton). Its description in RNAcentral is "long non-coding RNA (GBAR_LNC007662)". The record is from RNAcentral. Lineage: Eukaryota; Viridiplantae; Streptophyta; Magnoliopsida; Malvales; Malvaceae.